UGUGGGAGCUGGCUUGCCUGCGAUAGCGGUGUGUCAGCGCCUGAUAUGUGUCUGAUACACCGCUAUCGCAGGCAAGCCAGCUCCCACA
Molecule: unclassified non-coding RNA, 88 nt
Filed under: Pseudomonas cedrina
Lineage: Bacteria; Pseudomonadati; Pseudomonadota; Gammaproteobacteria; Pseudomonadales; Pseudomonadaceae
Source: RNAcentral